UGGGACUGGGGGGGUGUGGGUUGACAGUGCUGAGGUCUCCCCAAGCCCCCGAGCUCUGCUGCCCCACAUCUCCCCCCCCCCA
This 82-nucleotide microRNA precursor is filed under the name Gallus gallus (chicken). Its description in RNAcentral is "microRNA gga-mir-3534 precursor". Lineage: Eukaryota; Metazoa; Chordata; Aves; Galliformes; Phasianidae. The record is from miRBase by way of RNAcentral.